AUAAUGAUACUCCCCUACAGCCACAGUCCGAGCGUUAGAAGCGUCGCAGGCAAUGGGUAGGGUUGGAUGAGAUCCAUGCAGGGGUGAAAUUCCCGUGA
This 98-nucleotide non-coding RNA is filed under the name unclassified sequences. RNAcentral's name for it is "pemK RNA". It matches the Rfam family "pemK RNA". The record is from RNAcentral.